AUUGAACGCUGGCGGCAUGCUUUACACAUGCAAGUCGAACGGUAACAGGCCGCAAGGUGCUGACGAGUGGCGAACGGGUGAGUAAUGCAUCGGAACGUGCCCAGUCGUGGGGGAUAACUACUCGAAAGAGUAGCUAAUACCGCAUACGAUCUAUGGAUGAAAGCGGGGGACCGUAAGGCCUCGCGCGAUUGGAGCGGCCGAUGUCAGAUUAGGUAGUUGGUGGGGUAAAGGCUCACCAAGCCAACGAUCUGUAGCUGGUCUGAGAGGACAACCCGCCACACUGGAACUGAGACACGGCCCAGACUCCUACGGGAGGCAGCAGUGGGGAAUUUUGGACAAUGGGCGCAAGCCUGAUCCAGCAAUGCCGCGUGCAGGAAGAAGGCCUUCGGGUUGUAAACUGCUUUUGUACGGAACGAAACGGCUCUGGUUAAUACCCGGGGCUAAUGACGGUACCGUAAGAAUAAGCACCGGCUAACUACGUG
Molecule: ribosomal RNA, 482 nt
Filed under: uncultured bacterium
Lineage: Bacteria
Description: partial 16S ribosomal RNA
Rfam family: Bacterial small subunit ribosomal RNA
Source: RNAcentral